This 768-nucleotide ribosomal RNA is filed under the name uncultured bacterium. Its description in RNAcentral is "bacterial SSU rRNA". It matches the Rfam family "Bacterial small subunit ribosomal RNA", at positions 8 to 796 of the family's 1533-position model. The record is from RNAcentral.
AGAGUUUGAUCAUGGCUCAGAACGAACGCUGGCGGCGUGCUUAACACAUGCAAGUCGAGUGCGCGGUUGUAGCAAUACAACUGCGCACGGCGCACGGGUGCGUAACACGUGGGUAACCUGCCCUUUGGUGGGGAAUAACUCCGCGAAAGCGGAGCUAAUUCCGCAUAAGAUCCGCAAGGAUGAAAGCCGCAAGGCGCCGAAGGAGGGGCCCGCGCCCGAUUAGCUAGUUGGUGAGGUAAUGGCUCACCAAGGCAUUGAUCGGUAGCUGGUCUGAGAGGAUGAUCAGCCACACUGGAACUGAGACACGGUCCAGACUCCUACGGGAGGCAGCAGUGGGGAAUCUUGCACAAUGGGCGAAAGCCUGAUGCAGCGACGCCGCGUGGGGGAUGAAGCAUUUCGGUGUGUAAACCCCUUUCGAUCCGGACGAAACCCCGUAAGGGAUUGACGGUACGGAUAUAAGAAGCCCCGGCUAACUACGUGCCAGCAGCCGCGGUAAGACGUAGGGGGCCAGCGUUGUUCGGAAUUACUGGGUGUAAAGGGUCAGUAGGCGGUGCGGCAAGUCGGGAGUGAAAUCUCUGGGCUUAACCCAGAGGCUGCUUCCGAAACUGCUGUGCUUGAGUGUGGGAGAGGCGCGUGGAAUUGCAGGUGUAGCGGUGAAAUGCGUAGAUAUCUGCAGGAACACCCGUGGCGAAAGCGGCGCGCUGGACCACAACUGACGCUGAAUGACGAAAGCUAGGGGAGCAACAGGAUUAGAUACCCUAGUAGUCC